Molecule: long non-coding RNA, 2007 nt
Organism: Tarenaya hassleriana
Lineage: Eukaryota; Viridiplantae; Streptophyta; Magnoliopsida; Brassicales; Cleomaceae
Exons: 2
Source: RefSeq, a predicted model, not a curated record
UCUUUAUCUUUCUUCUAGCCGCCUCCUUGUUCCUCCUUUGAUCUUUAUCGUUUUCUUUAGAUCUCUCUGCUAUGGUACCGAUUUGCGUGUUUUCGGUUGCUGAGCCUUGUAGAUCGGCUCCCGAUCUACGCGUUGGUAUCAUUUUUUGACAGGUCUGAGUUGCUUCGGUUGGUGGAAUCCAUCAUGGCUUGAAGGCGGAUCGUGUGCGUCGAGCUAUGGUGCGGCGAGAUCUGUUUCAGAUCUGAUCCCUCCGAUAGGCUUGCGUGAUUUUCGAGUCUUAUGCCACAGAUUGCGAGAUUCAUAGUUACGGUCGAUGUGUACAGGAGGCUGGAGGGAACGAUGAAUAUGUGCUCGUUUAAACGAAAAUAUGGGUGUAUAAGAUGUUGCGACGAUAUAGCCUUGGCUUUUUGGCAGGGGCUUGAGUCCUGAUUACAUCUUUGUCAUCCGACCUUUGCCAUCGCAGGUGCGCUUGCAUGGCAGGUCACCUCAUCCUUAAUAAAAUUUUCGUUUUGUUUUAGAGGGGAGUUCGCACGGGAGUUGCCCGGGUUCUCCCCUCUCGUGUGUGCGUUGGUGUCUCGUUCCAUCUCUCUCAUUCGUCCCCACGUUCUCUCUUCAAUACCUGCUCCGCAAAUAUGCCCUCACAUCCAUGAAUGUUUGAGACAAGUCCAAACUUGCAUAUAUUGGAACAAGAUCUAAAAUCAGCGGAUCUGAAGUUACAUCGAACCAAUCUUGUUCAUCAUUUCACUCGGAGACAGGUAUUCUUUACAUGUUAUAUUUUAUAUGUUUACUUCAACCAACACCGUGUGAACUGCUCGGGUUUGAUUUUCGCACAAUUUUCUCAUACCAUCUCAGAUCUCAAUUGUAGAUUAAUUGAUGUCGUUAACUGAGCGUAGGCUUAAUGUUGAAGCAUAGCAAGAUAUAAUUGAAUCAUCGAAACAGUGAAGGUUCUUACUGUUGGUUCUGUACAGAUUGUUGCAUGUAGUCAGAAUCGUUGGUGGGAAAUUUUAUUGUGUAGAUGAUCUGAAGCUGAAGCUCAAAGCUCUGUUGCAACGUAAUAUCCAUCAUGUUCUAAGGAUCGUCAAAUGGUAAAUGUUAAAUGAUUAGUAUUAGUAUUAUAAGAACAAUAUUGUUGAAAAACUGACUUGAAAAUCGGAAUUUUUUUAUUAAGCAUUUCUUACUGCCCAUGGUACUGUAAUCGUUAAUAUUUUUCAUCUCUGUAUUUUGCAGUAUGCGUUUCAAAUAUUUUGUUGAUAUUUUUUUAGCAGUAACUAAUAACUAAUUUUUAUGUAUCCUCUGUGUUGAACUUUAGUUAACUAUUUUUAUGCUUGCGGUUGUAGAAUCUUUGUUCUACAUGUAAUUGGGAGUUGUAUCUUAGUAUGGAUUUUCAUUAGCAAAAGGUUUUUAAAGGUGGAUGAAGGGACUGUUGGAAUGUUUACAAAAUCGUCCAUGUUCUACAAAGUUUGGGUUGAAGAGAGUUCUCCUAGCUUUGUGCUCCCGGGGAAAGUCUUUUUAAAUUCAGAAAGCGUCAAUUCUGAUUACACUGUUAGAACCAAGGUUUGAUGUUGGGGAUGAAGGUUUUUUCGCAGCAGGUGGUGAUAUCAUCACCUUAACAUGAGUGAAUCGCAACAUGCUGAAGAGAUGCGGGUAGGAGGCAAGUGGGACGACUUCAUUUUUGCUCACCCACCGCAACCGCGACACUGAACUUUGGCUCUUUGUAAUGGCCAUAUCUCGAAACAUUGCGAGCUUUGGCUGUAGAAGUGGGGCUGAAUGUGUUAGUUGAAAACUGCUAGAGGUGGUGGUUUCUCGACUUGUGUCAUGUUAACACUUCCAUGAUAGAUAUGAAGUAGGCGUAUUUUCUGCGCCUGUUGCAUGGUAACACUCUUCUAUUUUAUUCAGUUCUUGUAUUCCCAACGUCGAAAUGCUUAAUCAUCGGUGGUUGGAUAAUCCGUUCUAAUGUUUUGAGUAUGCUGCUAUUUGGUUUGCUUACAAGGAAAAUUCUUUUCGUUU